GAUGAAGAACGUAGCGAAAUGCGAUAAGUAAUGUGAAUUGCAGAAUUCAGUGAAUCAUCGAAUCUUUGAACGCACAUUGCGCCCGCCAGUAUUCUGGCGGGCAUGCCUGUUCGAGCGUCAUUACAACCCUCAGGCCCCCGGGCCUGGCGUUGGGGAUCGGCGGAAGCCCCCUGCGGGCACAACGCCGUCCCCCAAAUACAGUGGCGGUCCCGCCGCAGCCUCCAUUGCGUAGUAGCUAACACCUCGCAACUGGAGAGCGGCGCGGCCACGCCGUAAAACACCCAACUUCUGAAUGUUGACCUCGAAUCAGGUAGGAAUACCCGCUGAACUUAAGCAUAUCAAUAAGCGGAGGA
RNAcentral lists this unclassified non-coding RNA (353 nucleotides) under soil metagenome. Its description in RNAcentral is "partial contains 5.8S ribosomal RNA, internal transcribed spacer 2, and large subunit ribosomal RNA". The stretch from base 1 to 120 matches the Rfam family "5.8S ribosomal RNA", at positions 35 to 154 of the family's 154-position model. The record is from RNAcentral.